UAUGUCUCUAUGGACAAUGCUGCACAGCCU
RNAcentral lists this non-coding RNA (30 nucleotides) under Rattus norvegicus (Norway rat). Lineage: Eukaryota; Metazoa; Chordata; Mammalia; Rodentia; Muridae. The record is from RNAcentral.